Molecule: non-coding RNA, 87 nt
Organism: Trichonephila clavipes
Lineage: Eukaryota; Metazoa; Arthropoda; Arachnida; Araneae; Nephilidae
Source: the annotation of a GenBank genome assembly
UGGCCAUAUUAUGCUGUAAACACCGGUUCUCGUCCGAUAACCGAAAUUAAGCAUCGUCGGGCGCGGUCAGUAAUUGGAAGGGUGACA